UGAAGUCCACAAAGACUAUCAAUCGUAGUUGACUCAUAGUUUUAAUCACAAUUAACAAAAUUAUUCCAACAUUUGUUUUCAAUUGUUCAAAGAUGUGUGCAGGUUGCAUUUGCAGUGCUAUGUGCUGCUGCCUUAAAUGGGGCCUUAAAAUGACAUUGCUGCUGCUCUGCUGCGCAAUCGGAGUCCUCUUCAUCUUGACAGCUAUUAUCUAUUUUGCAUUCUUUUACAAAAUGGGUGACGAAGAGAAGGCUGCAAAGGCAUUCGCAGGAUUUAUUUACAAAAAGGGGUUCGUGACUGAUAUAUACGCGGAAAAAAUUGGAAAUUGAGCUGUUUUAGGAAGAAUAACUAAAGUGCGUCAAAUCUGCGAAUCGAGUUCUGGAACACAAGUAAGCCUGAGCCCAAGCCAAAUAAUCUGAGUCUAGUUCUGGCUCUAAUCUGUUUUAAAUGUUGAUUGGGAAUAUAUAAAUUGUACAUGUGUCUUUUAAUUGCAUUAA
Long non-coding RNA from Drosophila grimshawi, 494 nucleotides. RefSeq lists it as uncharacterized. NCBI's taxonomy places the organism in Eukaryota, Metazoa, Arthropoda, Insecta, Diptera, Drosophilidae. The record is from RefSeq and is a predicted model, not a curated record. The transcript is spliced from 3 exons.